This 433-nucleotide ribosomal RNA is filed under the name uncultured bacterium. RNAcentral's name for it is "partial 16S ribosomal RNA". It matches the Rfam family "Bacterial small subunit ribosomal RNA", at positions 29 to 507 of the family's 1533-position model. The record is from RNAcentral.
AGCGAACGCUGGCGGCAGGCCUAACACAUGCAAGUCGAACGAACUCUUCGGAGUUAGUGGCGGACGGGUGAGUAACACGUGGGAACGUGCCUUUUGGUUCGGAAUCACUCAGGGAAACUUGUGCUAAUACCGAAUGUGCCCUUCGGGGGAAAGAUUUAUCGCCCUUAGAGCGGCCCGCUUCGGAUUAGCUAGUUGGUGAGGUAACGGCUCACCAAGGCGACGAUCAGUAGCUGGUCUGAGAGGAUGACCAGCCACACUGGGACUGUGACACGGCCCAGACUCCUACGGGAGGCAGCAGUGGGGAAUCGUGCGAAAUGGGCGAAAGCCUGACGCAGCCAUGCCGCGUGAAUGAUGAAGGUCGUAGGAUUGUAAAAUGCUUUCACCGGGGACGAUAAUGACGGUACCCGGAGAAGAAGCCCCGGCUAACUUCGUG